CAGGCAGCAGACCGGAGCCGAGGAGAAGGGCAGGAGACCGGAGGGUAACACUCAGCUCUGCACAAAUGAGUUGUGAAUGUUGCUGCAACAAAUAUGACUUGGCACUUGAUGGCAGCUGAAGCCCCACAAAACAUUAUCCUUCGUGUCAUCGAGGCAGACCGUGUUAGAAAAUUAAAACUCAGCUCCCGUCCAGCCUCUGUUGAUGCAGUGAUUGAGAUUUUAAAAGAACAACUGGAAUUGGACUGUGACUUCAGUUUGCAAUACAAAGAUCCAGACUUUGAUGGAAAACUCACUUGCCUUGUUGACAUCGAGGAGUUACCACAAAAAGCCUGUGUUCAUAUUUCAGUUAGACAGGAUUCCAGUUCUCUUGCAUCAACUGAUACCCUUUCAGAUGUGUCAUCCCCAGAACGUCUGAGCAGAUGGCCUCCAGGUCCUUUACAAAUUCCCACAUUUGCAUUUGACGUUGAGCUGACACUUAGAGAUGGGAAUGCUGAAUUUGAAAAGAAUGAGAGACCUCUUCAGUUGUCAAGGGACCAAAAGCACAAUAUUUUAGACAAACUGGCAUCUACCAUAUAUGGUUUUAAGGCUUACCCCAGUGAUAAAGAGAUAGCAAUGGUGGCUGAAGCUCUUGUGAGGAAACACCCCUGUUUAAUAGAAGCAGGAUCUGACAAUGGAUGGGAUGGCUGGAAAAACAGCAUCAAGU
This is a long non-coding RNA of Coregonus clupeaformis (lake whitefish), 703 nucleotides long. RefSeq lists it as uncharacterized. NCBI's taxonomy places the organism in Eukaryota, Metazoa, Chordata, Actinopteri, Salmoniformes, Salmonidae. The transcript has 3 exons. The record is from RefSeq and is a predicted model, not a curated record.